GACGAACGCUGGCGGCGUGCUUAACACAUGCAAGUCGAACGGAAAGGCCUGCUUUCCCUUGUGGAUUGCGGGUACUCGAGUGGCGAACGGGUGAGUAACACGUGAGUGAUCUGCCCCCAACUUGGGUAUAAGCCUGGGAAACUGGGUCUAAUUCCCGAUAGGACUGCAGGGUGGUGCCUGUGGUGGAAAACGAUUUUCUAGUGGUUGGGGAUGAGCUCGCGGCCUAUCAGCUUGUUGGUGGGGUAAUGGCCUACCAAGGCGGCGACGGGUAGCCGGGCUGGGAGGGUGGACGGCGACAUUGGGACUGAGAUACGGCCCAGACUCCUACGGGAGGCAGCAGUGGGGAAUAGUGCACAAUGGGCGGAAGCCUGAUGCAGCGACGCAGCGUGGGGGAUGACGGCCUUCGGGUUGUAAACUCCUUUCGACCGCGAGGAAGCCACCUGGUUGGAAGGGUGGUGACGGUAGUGGUAGAAGAAGCACCGGCUAACUACGUG
This 494-nucleotide ribosomal RNA is filed under the name uncultured bacterium. RNAcentral describes it as "partial 16S ribosomal RNA". It matches the Rfam family "Bacterial small subunit ribosomal RNA", at positions 28 to 507 of the family's 1533-position model. The record is from RNAcentral.